GCUGCCGCGCCAAAAAAAUUUCGGGACGAGCGCGCGAGAAUAAUUGUGGUGUGCUUUGACCGGUCAGGCUCAAGACUAGUGAGGACUGAGGAGCUGAGGACAGAUACCCAUUCAGCUGCCAGCAGACCCCUCUUCUUCCUCCUCACCCCCUCUCCACUGCCUCCUUCCCCCAGAUUCACCACCAUUAAUCCCCCAAAUCAACCACCAUGGAUUCUCUCCACUAGAAUCUCCGGUCACCCUCCCACCCUAUCUCCGGCAUCAUCGUGCCCUCCACCGCGCCCACUAACUAUCUCCCCUGCCUCUCUAUCCAGAUCUCUCAGUCCAGAUCCAAAGUUGCAGCCUCCACCAGCUCCGGCAACUCCAGCAACCAAAUCCCUGUUCGAGGUUGAAGCUACUGCAUCAAAAUCCCCAAUUACUUCAUUAUUAGGUGGAUGCACCCUAGAUCUACUGGUUUGUCUACAAUUGUUAGAGGGCUCGAUGCAGCUAAGGAUGGCCACAUGGGAAGCAAUGGCCACAGCAUAUGUUCUACUAGAAGAGGAUUUACAUACUUGGGACCUUUGUCGUUAA
This 567-nucleotide long non-coding RNA is filed under the name Oryza sativa aromatic subgroup. RNAcentral's name for it is "lncRNA OsARC_12g0013460". Lineage: Eukaryota; Viridiplantae; Streptophyta; Magnoliopsida; Poales; Poaceae. The record is from RNAcentral.